CAUGUAGGCGGCUUAAUAAGUCGAGCGUGAAAAUGCGGGGCUCAACCCCGUAUGGCGCCGGAAACUGUUAGGCUUGAGUGCAGGAGAGGAAAGGGGAAUUCCCAGUGUAGCGGUGAAAUGCGUAGAUAUUGGGAGGAACACCAGUGGCGAAGGCGCCUUUCUGACUGUGUCUGACGCUGAGAUGCGAAAGCCAGGGUAGCGAACG
This 205-nucleotide ribosomal RNA is filed under the name uncultured bacterium. RNAcentral's name for it is "partial 16S ribosomal RNA". It matches the Rfam family "Bacterial small subunit ribosomal RNA", at positions 568 to 774 of the family's 1533-position model. The record is from RNAcentral.